UACAGAGGUCCCGAGCGUUGUUCGGAUUCAUUGGGCGUAAAGGGUGCGUAGGCGGCGGGGCAAGUCUGAUGUGAAAUCCUGGGGCUCAACCUCAGAACUGCAUUGGAUACUGCCUUGCUAGAGUACUGGAGAGGGAACUGGAAUUUACGGUGUAGCAGUGAAAUGCGUAGAGAUCGUAAGGAAGGCCGGUGGCGAAGGCGAGUUCCUGGACAGUUACUGACGCUGAGGCACGAAGGCCAGGGGAGCAAACGGG
RNAcentral lists this ribosomal RNA (253 nucleotides) under uncultured bacterium. RNAcentral's name for it is "partial 16S ribosomal RNA". It matches the Rfam family "Bacterial small subunit ribosomal RNA", at positions 524 to 776 of the family's 1533-position model. The record is from RNAcentral.